Molecule: long non-coding RNA, 1793 nt
Organism: Culex pipiens pallens (northern house mosquito)
Lineage: Eukaryota; Metazoa; Arthropoda; Insecta; Diptera; Culicidae
Exons: 2
Source: RefSeq, a predicted model, not a curated record
UCCAAAUCGAAAUGUAAUUUUGUAAAAUUUAGAUAAAAAGCAGUUUUUAAGUUGUAGCCAUUUUAAGGUUAAAUUUGUUAACAGAAUUUUAUAUUUUCCGGAUGUUUCCAUCCCUGUCCAACUUGAAAAAAAUAUUCCAAAAGCUGAGAAAACUCUCUACAAUUUGCUUUCUUGGACGUUGUUGAUCCGACCUUUGGUUGCUCAGAUAUGGACAAGUAAUCAAUGGACAACGUUUCCUACAAAUAAAAAAAUCGUCCAAGUCAUGGAAGCAAGCUAACAAUUGAUUGAAAUAGUUUGUUUUUGUUCAAUGAAAUUCUAAACUUUAUGAAUCAUCUUUCCGAUUUACGUUAUGAAAUGGCGAGUUGACAUAAAUGAUAUUUAAAACAGAUGUUGAUCAGAACAAAAAUCCUAAAUCAAACUUCAUUUGACCACCCCUGUUCCACCUCAACACGCGACUCACAACGCACCCAUACGACAACUCCGCCGCCACCGUCGACGACGACCCCCGCUCAUUCGAGUGAGUGUGUUCUCGCGCGUAGUAUUUACAUUUUUAUUUCACCCCGUUUUCCCCCUUUUGUAUACCUGUUCCAAAACAUCCCAACUAAGCUAGUAUUAUUGUUGUUGUUGUACCUACAUACCUUCCACUCUCGCUGGCUCUGAGCUGCGUGUCCACGGCAGCAGUCAGUCGUCGCGGCACGGCGAUUGUCGUCUGGUCACUUUUCUUCCGUCCGUUCGCUGGUCCACAGCCCAACACUCGAUAUAACUGAUGUGACCCGCUGAGCUCUACGUGCGUGUGUUUGUCGGUGUGCGUUUGUGUUUUCGUGAGUUUUGUGGACAUUCCUCGAAGAAAGUGUUCGAAAUGAUUUCGAUUCAGGUUUUUUUCCCCCUCGAAAGCUGCGUGUGACCCCGUGGGUGGUUGGCCAAAUCCAGUACCAUUCAAUACCACGACUUGUCAUCAAACGUCCAAGAAGCUCUCUUCCAGAACCUCGCAAUGACACUCUAAUCAAGGAGGUGUUAAUUGAAUUAGGAAUUACACACUCUUCAAAGCAAGAAAAAAAUCAAUCGGCAAGUCAAUGACUAGCUGUGCCGACCGUCGAGCAGUGUAAUUAAAUUAUUGAUGCUAGAAUGAAAUCACUUCAAACUUGGAAUUCGUCUAAUCCAGCCGACUUGUGUGGUUCCUUAGGGUGAUUAGUCGAACAAAAAACAACACCCCCACAACCCCAAUUGGGGCGCCAGCAGCCAACAGUGUUCAUCCCCCACGCCAGUAAUCAAAUUACGUGCAAUACUUGACCAACGCAAAAAAACAACCCUGCACUUUACAGUGUGUGGCUUAAAUGUAAUUUUAUGAUGCUUCUCGAAUGCGUUUAGGACUGACGUCAUCGCGGAUCGACAUUUAGUCGUCGCGGCGCACAAUUCUGACCAACACCUCGCUCAACGCACAAACACAUGAGGAAACGGGGAAUUUUUCAAAGUAGAAGCGGCAGGUUUUAAUCGUAUUCAUCAAUGACACCAAAGAGCAGCCCGCGUGAGGCAUUGAUUUGCGACAAGACAAAGGGAUUUAGAACGAUAUUUGAAACUUCUUGAACACCUCAAGAGACUGCAAUGACCAACAGUGUCCAAGUGCCACGAAGACUUUGUAGUAGAUAGGGCUGUCCAAGCUAUUCGGAAAAAGUGAACAAAUCGACUUUAAACCCCUACGAUGGUUACCGACUACGGUGGCAACGGAAAAGUUGCCAACGGUAGCAGCGGCAACAACCUGAUACACUCCAACUCGUUCUACAUGCAGAAACAGG